UGCAGAAUCCCGUGAACCAUCGAGUCUUUGAACGCAAGUUGCGCCCGAAGCCAUUAGGCUAAGGGCACGCCUGCCUGGGUGUCACCAAUCGUUGCCCCAACCCCUGUGCCCGUGGGCACGGGCUGGGGCGAAUGUUGGCUUCCCGCGAGCACCGCCUCGCGGUUGGUUGAAAAUCGGGCUCGUGGUGGAUUCAGCGCCAUGACAGAUGGUGGUUGAGUAUGUUCUCGAGGCCAGUCAUGCCCGCGACCUCCACCAGUUCCGCGCCCAGUGACCCGCGAGCGACGUCGAUCGCCCAUGACGCGACCUCAGGUCAGGCGGGGCUAC
This 324-nucleotide ribosomal RNA is filed under the name Dalbergia stipulacea. RNAcentral describes it as "eukaryotic LSU rRNA". The stretch from base 1 to 84 matches the Rfam family "5.8S ribosomal RNA", at positions 73 to 154 of the family's 154-position model. Lineage: Eukaryota; Viridiplantae; Streptophyta; Magnoliopsida; Fabales; Fabaceae. The record is from RNAcentral.